Molecule: long non-coding RNA, 1191 nt
Filed under: Coturnix japonica (Japanese quail)
Lineage: Eukaryota; Metazoa; Chordata; Aves; Galliformes; Phasianidae
Description: lncRNA (ENSCJPG00005017629.1)
Source: RNAcentral
GGCCUUGCUUUCCCAACUGCAAGUGAAGAUGUUCCCCAUUCAGCCUGCAGCUUAACUCUGUCCGAAAGGCUCUGCUGCACUUCUCAGGGUACUCCAGCUGCAUGCUGAGUAUUUGGGUCCAAGCAUGCAUUGCCUCUGAAUGGUGGUGGGAUGAGCCACCAGCCUGUGCUAGGCCACAGUUUUGCAUCCCCUUGAAUAACCUAGCCUCAGCACAGCCCUUCCCAGCUCCAAAAGCUUUAUUAUCCUGCAUAAAUGCUUCUGCAGAUGCUGCUCAAAUGCCAAAACAAGUUUGUCUGGCAUGAAGGCUUUGGGCAUCAGAGAGCAGUACAUGUGUGGAGCAUCAUCUCUCUUGAGACAAUUCCAAGCCCUCACACCUAUCUAGUGUCUCUUCUGCAUUCCACCCUGCUGCCUCUCAAGGCUCCUGGAAGAGAGGAGAUCUGCAGAAGGAGAUGAAGAAAGGUAGAGCCAGCAUCCUAAAAGGGGAAGCGACUCCUCUGCUUAUUUGAAAUGUUACUUAUAUUCUCUCUGAACUACAAACUGGUAAGAGAUGCCAGGUUAACAGCCUGUAAGACUGAAAUCUAUGUUUAUCCAAAAGCUACAGGAGAAAAAGAAGCUAUGUGGUUUGAUAUAUAUCCAGCUUUGACCUUCAAUAUUUUUCCAGCAGAAUGGCUACUUUGCUAGAAAACACUGUUCCAAGACAACAAAAGCCCUUCAAAAACUUGGAUCAAACACAGCAAAUAAUUUUGGCCAGAAGAAUAGAUGACAACACAGAAAAGUUGAAUAUUGAAUGUCAGUGUUUCUGAACUAUCACAGUUCGCUUUUCUCUUUGACCAAAAAAAGAUAAGUUUGAUAUUUCAAAAGUCAUAUAACUGGAUUAAAAGACUUAGCAGAAGCAUGUGUUUGGACUAGCAAAGUUGGAGUACUUCAGUGUUCACCAAAAGAGGCCAAUCAGCUUCAUCAGAGCUAACCCAAAAAGACAGCACCUUCAUAAGGUUACCCAAAGUUCAUGUGCUCAUCCUGUAAAAGUCUCUCUGCCUUCACUGGUUGUUCAUAAGGCUUUUGUAGACAGCCCAACUAAAUUAGACAUCUCUCUCAGCUACCAGAAAUUCAGUGGUGUGACCUUUGAACACAUGUCAUUCUGCUUGAAUUAAACAUUGCAGGCAGAGCUGAGAAGGAAAAUUUGUUUCACCA